GCAUGGGGCUCUGCCAUAGUCUCAAAGUGGAAAGAGAUACAGUGGCUGGCACUGAGUGGUUGGAGCAAAGACCCUGAGUGCUUCGAAAAGGAGUGUCACACUCACUCAGGACAGGCAAGACAUCCUGAAUGAAAGCUAGGAGGUGUUGGUGAGAGAGGGGUGGAUGGGGCUGAGCUAGGAGUGGAUGGGGAGAGGGUGGUUCACUGGAACCUGCCUUAGAGCUACUGAUGAGACAGACUCACAAGGCUCGGCUUUGAGAUCUGUGGCGAUUUCUUGUCUGGACCUGAUGGUGCAGGAUGGGAGAGUGGCUGCCUGGGCUCAGCUGCUUCCUGCUUCUGCAUCUGUCUUUUCUCCUCCUUGUCACUGAGCGGAUACAUCUGGGGCAUUAAAGGACAGCUUGCAUUUGAAUCGCCCCGUCAGGUCCAAGCCCGGCUCUCCAAAGACCAACACCAUCCACCGGGACCAGAGCCGUGCGGUUCUGAGCAGGCCUUUUCCCUUCACGAGCUCCAGAUUCCUACGACCUGUUCUGCCUUCAACACAAGCACAAUCCUGGGCUGUGGGUUCCCGAGCAGGGCCUGGAAGAGGAGGCCACUGUCAGGUGCGACUUUGGGAAUGCCACUGCCUGUACCAGCGACCUUUUGUAUCCCAAGAAGUGAGGCAAACAUCAGCCAUCCUGUUCUCCCCUGGUGAUCCAGGGAGCCCUUGUCCUUCAGUGCAGAAGGCAAGACUUUCAACCAUGACUGGCAUGGCCAUGAAGGAGACAGGCUGGCCUCCAAAACAUUGAAAAUACCACUGGAAGACAGAUCGGGUAAGUAAGCCACAAGAAGAUGGGAUUCAGAGUCUGUGGGGUUGUAUGGUUUGUGUGUGUGUGUGUGCAUGUGCGUGUGUGUGUGUGUGUGUCUGUGUGUGUGUGUGUGUGUGUCUGUGUGUCUGUGUGCAUACAUAUAUAUUACACUGAUUUAAGGUGCAGAGGUAUGUACCACGGUGUGCAUGUGGAUGUCAGAAGCCAAUUUACAGGAGCUGGCAUCCUUCCACCAUGUUGGUCCUGAGGAUGAAACUGGGGUCAUCAGAUUUAGCGCCAAGCACCUCUGUCUGCUGAACCACCCAUGAUCCAAGAUCGAUUUCUUUCCAUACAAAUCCAAGCAGGGAAUCUGAGCUUGCUCCUGUUGUCUGGGUAGAUGCGUUCCAUUCGACUUCUUACCUACCGGGUUCUCCGUAGAGAAGAACUCAGAGAAGUAAAUACUUUAAGGUAGCAGAGCAAACCCAGACGCUUCUGCUGCGUGCCUGAGCUGGCAGAUUCUAGAACCAGAGUGGUGAUGUAGGGCUGGAGGUGGCCUCCCUCAGUCACUUAAGGGUGAUAAUUACCUGCUGUAAACAGCCUUGGUGUAAUUAAAGCUGGAGGCCCAGGGCUGAGACCGUUUCCACACAGAGAGCGUCAUCUGACAAAGCCCGGCUCAGCUGGCUCCAGGAGGCCAGUCUGCCUAAGCAGAGAAUUCAGCUCUGCCCCAGGGCCUGUGGCCAGAGGAAAGCAACGGGCUCUGGAGCCCAGGGAAGGCCUGCUUCUGAUUACAGGAGGAUGGCAGGUGCCAUGCUCACGUCCCAGGUAAGUUGACAGGCUCUGAUCACCCAACGCUGAGGCCUCAGGGAGUUGAUGGUACAAUUCUCCCUCUACCUGUUUACUGGGUGCACCUCGACUAAAUGUGGCCCCUCCCCCACAUCUUCAGAGUGGGACACUCUCCCAUGGUCUCCACUGCCUGCUGGAGAAUCAGAGAUAGCCUGCCUUCAUGAACCCUUCCUCUUCUUGACCUCCAAGAAGGGACCCACUGUACCUCAUGGUCCCGAACUCUCCCCAGAGCCCACAACCCAACACUGUCUCUCUGCCUCUCGGGACACCCAUGGUAUUAACAACCAAUGAACCUCUUACCCAGAGGACAAUCUUCCUCAGUCUACCCCCUGAACCUAAAACUCCUGACCCUACAAUAACCCCUCGGCCUGGACAGCGGGGACCAUGCCUCCAGCCAUUUAGAAGAUGCUCUGCUCCCCAACCCCGAUUAUGCUUGUCACUCCUCCCACAAGAGUACUCCUCUGUAUAAAGCUAAUCAGAUCAACUUCAGAGUCUCCAGGGUCUCUGGCCACAGGAUGGAACAUUCCAUGCUUGUGUGUGUUGGCAAGUCUGUCGCUGUGGCUUCUUUUUUUCCAGAACAGCCUCAGUUGUUUUUCAUUGCCCAUGUGCCUGCUGGAAGGUUUUAAUCCUUAAAUGUGGGCAAGACCCACAUUUUAAGGUGGUGAAGUAAGAAACCGCUCCCAACCCCUCCGCCCCACCCCCAUCCACCUCCACUUCUGUCACUCUGCUGGCUCCGCACUGUCAUCUGGCUCUGCAAUGGCUGGGUC
Mus musculus (house mouse) is the source of this 2391-nucleotide long non-coding RNA. RefSeq annotates it as predicted gene, 52539. The transcript has 3 exons. Lineage: Eukaryota; Metazoa; Chordata; Mammalia; Rodentia; Muridae. The record is from RefSeq and is a predicted model, not a curated record.